This 255-nucleotide ribosomal RNA is filed under the name uncultured bacterium. RNAcentral's name for it is "partial 16S ribosomal RNA". It matches the Rfam family "Bacterial small subunit ribosomal RNA", at positions 524 to 776 of the family's 1533-position model. The record is from RNAcentral.
UACAGAGGGUGCAAGCGUUAAUCGGAAUUACUGGGCGUAAAGCGUGCGCAGACGGUUGCGUAAGUCAGAUGUGAAAGCCCCGGGCUCAACCUGGGAAUUGCAUUUGAGACUGCGUAGCUAGGGUGCGGAAGAGGGAAGCGGAAUUUCCGGUGUGAGCGGUGAAAUGACGUAGAUAUCGGAAGGAACACCAGUGGCGAAGGCGGCUACCUGGCCCACUCUUGACGCUGAGGCGCGAAAGCUAGGGGAGCAAACGGG